UGGUUCCGGCAUCGAUGAAGAACGCAGCGAAAUGCGAUAAUUAAUAUGAAUUGCAGAAUUCAGUGAAUCAUCGAGUCUUUGAACGCACAUUGCGCCCGCUAGUAUUCUGGCGGGCAUGCCUGUCCGAGCGUCAUUUCAACCCUCGAGCCCAGCUCGGCGUUGGGGCGCGCGGGGGAGCUGUAGUCUUACAGCGCCCCGCGCCCCCGAAGGUCAGCGGCGGCGGCCGGCGGGAGCCCUCUGCGUAGCGAAAACCUCGCACCGGGAGCCCCCGGCCCGCCCGCCACGAAACAACCGUCCCCCUGGCGGGACCAACUGGUUGACCUCGGAUCAGGUAGGAAUACCCGCUGA
This 348-nucleotide unclassified non-coding RNA is filed under the name uncultured fungus. Its description in RNAcentral is "partial contains 5.8S ribosomal RNA and internal transcribed spacer 2". The stretch from base 1 to 133 matches the Rfam family "5.8S ribosomal RNA", at positions 22 to 154 of the family's 154-position model. Lineage: Eukaryota; Fungi. The record is from RNAcentral.